CCUUGAGCAUGGACAGCCUGGAUCUGCUGGGUGAAGGGAGAAGUUAUGUCCAGGGUGGGACAGAGAGGAUGGCGAGAGAUUUCCUCACUACUCAGAACAGCGGGAAAUUCAAAACUUAGGGAUUAUUUCUGAAAUUUUCCAUUUAAAAUUGACCAAGUGUAACUGAAACCAGAGAAAGCAAGACUGACGAUAAGGGAGGGGCCUCCUGUACUCCAAGAGCACUGAAUCUGGAAAAACUCAACACAUCGAUGGAGUCAUAUAUUUAAUUUUUUCUUAAAAGCCACCUGUGGGGUAUUGUAGAAACGCUGCGCUGCCUAUCACAGCUUGUGAUGUGACACGUUCAUUCUGCAAGUUUAAACUUCGCCUAGCAAAGAGCUCCUGGGAAGGUGCUGCUGGAUGCAGUUUGCAACCACCUCAACCUCGUGGAAGGUGACUAUUUUGGCCUCGAGUUUCCUGAUCACAAAAAGAUCACGGUGUGGCUGGAUCUCCUAAAACCCAUUGUGAAACAGAUUAGAAGGCCAAAGCAUGUUGUUGUUAAGUUUGUGGUGAAAUUCUUUCCGCCUGACCACACACAACUCCAAGAAGAACUCACAAGGUACCUGUUCGCGCUGCAGGUGAAGCAGGACUUGGCUCAAGGCAGGUUGACGUGUAAUGACACCAGCGCAGCUCUCUUGAUUUCACACAUUGUGCAAUCUGAGAUUGGGGAUUUUGAUGAAGCCUUGGACAGAGAGCACUUAGCAAAAAAUAAAUACAUACCUCAGCAAGACGCACUAGAGGACAAAAUCGUGGAAUUUCA
This 796-nucleotide small RNA is filed under the name Pan troglodytes (chimpanzee). RNAcentral's name for it is "processed transcript". Lineage: Eukaryota; Metazoa; Chordata; Mammalia; Primates; Hominidae. The record is from RNAcentral.